UGAGCUGGUUGGCCCUGCUGAGGGAAAUUCGCGAGCCGCUCGGGACCCUGGGCCUGGUUCCCUGCCCUCGGAAGACGACUGGCCACGGAGUCGUCGGCCGGGUGGGGGAGGAAGGACGGAGCCAGGGACCCGGGACUCACUCCACUUUGCAAGGAGCGGACGCCAACAGUAAGGCAGCUACUUCAUCUGAUGCUUCACCAGACACUGGAAUUCGUUCCAGCCCUGGAGGAAGCCCUGGCUACACUGUACUUACUGGAAGAUGGCACCAUGAGUGCAUUCUGAGCCCCAGGACGGUGGGAA
This 300-nucleotide long non-coding RNA is filed under the name Rhinolophus ferrumequinum (greater horseshoe bat). RNAcentral's name for it is "lncRNA (ENSRFEG00010008705.1)". Lineage: Eukaryota; Metazoa; Chordata; Mammalia; Chiroptera; Rhinolophidae. The record is from RNAcentral.